ACCGGGAGAUAGCUGGUUCUCCCCGAAAGCUAUUUAGGUAGCGCCUCGUGAAUUCAUCUCCGGGGGUAGAGCACUGUUUCGGCAAGGGGGUCAUCCCGACUUACCAACCCGAUGCAAACUGCGAAUACCGGAGAAUGUUAUCACGGGAGACACACGGCGGGUGCUAACGUCCGUCGUGAAGAGGGAAACAACCCAGACCGCCAGCUAAGGUCCCAAAGUCAUGGUUAAGUGGGAAACGAUGUGGGAAGGCCCAGACAGCCAGGAUGUUGGCUUAGAAGCAGCCAUCAUUUAAAGAAAGCGUAAUAGCUCACUGGUCGAGUCGGCCUGCGCGGAAGAUGUAACGGGGCUAAACCAUGCACCGAAGCUGCGGCAGCGACGCUUAUGCGUUGUUGGGUAGGGGAGCGUUCUGUAAGCCUGUGAAGGUGUGCUGUGAGGCAUGCUGGAGGUAUCAGAAGUGCGAAUGCUGACAUAAGUAACGAUAAAGCGGGUGAAAAGCCCGCUCGCCGGAAGACCAAGGGUUCCUGUCCAACGUUAAUCGGGGCAGGGUGAGUCGACCCCUAAGGCGAGGCCGAAAGGCGUAGUCGAUGGGAAACAGGUUAAUAUUCCUGUACUUGGUGUUACUGCGAAGGGGGGACGGAGAAGGCUAUGUUGGCCGGGCGACGGUUGUCCCGGUUUAAGCGUGUAGGCUGGUUUUCCAGGCAAAUCCGGAAAAUCAAGGCUGAGGCGUGAUGACGAGGCACUACGGUGCUGAAGCAACAAAUGCCCUGCUUCCAGGAAAAGCCUCUAAGCAUCAGGUAACAUCAAAUCGUACCCCAAACCGACACAGGUGGUCAGGUAGAGAAUACCAAGGCGCUUGAGAGAACUCGGGUGAAGGAACUAGGCAAAAUGGUGCCGUAACUUCGGGAGAAGGCACGCUGAUAUGUAGGUGAGGUCCCUCGCGGAUGGAGCUGAAAUCAGUCGAAGAUACCAGCUGGCUGCAACUGUUUAUUAAAAACACAGCACUGUGCAAACACGAAAGUGGACGUAUACGGUGUGACGCCUGCCCGGUGCCGGAAGGUUAAUUGAUGGGGUUAGCGGUAACGCGAAGCUCUUGAUCGAAGCCCCGGUAAACGGCGGCCGUAACUAUAACGGUCCUAAGGUAGCGAAAUUCCUUGUCGGGUAAGUUCCGACCUGCACGAAUGGCGUAAUGAUGGCCAGGCUGUCUCCACCCGAGACUCAGUGAAAUUGAACUCGCUGUGAAGAUGCAGUGUACCCGCGGCAAGACGGAAAGACCCCGUGAACCUUUACUAUAGCUUGACACUGAACAUUGAGCCUUGAUGUGUAGGAUAGGUGGGAGGCUUUGAAGUGUGGACGCCAGUCUGCAUGGAGCCGACCUUGAAAUACCACCCUUUAAUGUUUGAUGUUCUAACGUUGACCCGUAAUCCGGGUUGCGGACAGUGUCUGGUGGGUAGUUUGACUGGGGCGGUCUCCUCCUAAAGAGUAACGGAGGAGCACGAAGGUUGGCUAAUCCUGGUCGGACAUCAGGAGGUUAGUGCAAUGGCAUAAGCCAGCUUGACUGCGAGCGUGACGGCGCGAGCAGGUGCGAAAGCAGGUCAUAGUGAUCCGGUGGUUCUGAAUGGAAGGGCCAUCGCUCAACGGAUAAAAGGUACUCCGGGGAUAACAGGCUGAUACCGCCCAAGAGUUCAUAUCGACGGCGGUGUUUGGCACCUCGAUGUCGGCUCAUCACAUCCUGGGGCUGAAGUAGGUCCCAAGGGUAUGGCUGUUCGCCAUUUAAAGUGGUACGCGAGCUGGGUUUAGAACGUCGUGAGACAGUUCGGUCCCUAUCUGCCGUGGGCGCUGGAGAACUGAGGGGGGCUGCUCCUAGUACGAGAGGACCGGAGUGGACGCAUCACUGGUGUUCGGGUUGUCAUGCCAAUGGCACUGCCCGGUAGCUAAAUGCGGAAGAGAUAAGUGCUGAAAGCAUCUAAGCACGAAACUUGCCCCGAGAUGAGUUCUCCCUGACUCCUUGAGAGUCCUGAAGGAACGUUGAAGACG
RNAcentral lists this ribosomal RNA (2034 nucleotides) under Escherichia coli. RNAcentral's name for it is "partial 23S ribosomal RNA". It matches the Rfam family "Bacterial large subunit ribosomal RNA", at positions 837 to 2846 of the family's 2925-position model. The record is from RNAcentral. Lineage: Bacteria; Pseudomonadati; Pseudomonadota; Gammaproteobacteria; Enterobacterales; Enterobacteriaceae.